Orbicella faveolata is the source of this 3456-nucleotide long non-coding RNA. RefSeq lists it as uncharacterized. The record is from RefSeq and is a predicted model, not a curated record. NCBI's taxonomy places the organism in Eukaryota, Metazoa, Cnidaria, Anthozoa, Scleractinia, Merulinidae.
UCUUGUGCAGGGAACUUGUAAGCGCUGUCUUGAAAGCAACCAUUAAGAUGGAAAUGAACCAAACAACGUUUGCAUUUGUGAUCAUUUGCAUUUGCAUUUUCUUAGUGUCCCACCCAGCAUCCUUAUUGCUUAUUUUUAAAGAGUUACCUCCAAGUUGCCCUCUCAUCUCAAAGUCAAAACGAGUCUCUUUGCGAAACUAUUCACGUGGAAAUAUAGUUCCUGUCAAACUGUUUUGUACGAGGUUUCGUCUCAGGGGGCGAAGAAAUACAAACACGAGCGGAAGUUUGGGAGAACGAGAAAAGUCGUGGUAUUUGUAAUUCUAUAACUCGAUAGAAACACGAAAAGAAAUUACUUUUUAUUUCUUUAAAUUAAAGGAAACACUUCGUGAAAAGGAAAAAAAUUAGUUGGUUUGUCUCUUUACCAAAAUACGCCAACAGUUCGUGCUAGUUCUGUCUUUGUAUCGAGUUUUAGUAUAAAUCUAUUAGCGUUCUAUCACGAAUACCGUUCCCUGAUUACAUGUGGCUACGCUACUCACUAUCUAUUCUGUUGAACUUAGUGAGUGGCCCAGCAGUGUACGCUUGUUAACAAAAUGGCGGCCGCUUCUUUGCGUGUUCGAAGUGUCUCUGAAGAGGAUUUAUGUAAAAUGUUGGAUUAAAAACACUACUAGUACAUUUAUGCUAAAGCAAUAAGAUUAUUCGCUUUCGAUUUCUGUGCGUAAUAGCUGACUCGGACUGCGCAAUCGUCAAUUAUCACGCGAUAGAAAUCGAAAGGGAAUAGUCUAAAUGUGAAAUAGAAAUGCAGGUCUGAGCAUGCGAUUUCCCUUACACGCUGUUUUCUAAACUGUUAUUUCUCAUUUUUCUUUCGCUCUAUAUUUUCUUUGCUCAUGCAAUGUAAAUAAAGAAACGGUUCAAAUAAAAUAAAAGAAAGCUGGUAUGAUAUAUGGCGAGGAAUUAAGAGGCCCCCCUUUAGCUGAUCGUAUGUCUUUCCGCGCGCGUGGUGAUAUUAUUUAUAUACACUUUAUUUUGAAAUAUUGCAUCCCAAAAGUCAAACUUACAAAGUUUCAGUCUUCCUACCUCAACACGCCUACAGCUGAACAUCUCUUAUUUGCUCGGUUCAAAUUUCCAUGGCUUCCGUAUGUCCUAGUUAAAGUUUAAUUAUUCAUUAUCUUGUUUCAACAGCCUGCCUCCGUAAAAGAUCAUGAUCAUAAAACCUAAUAUCUGAAUGUAAAUAUGUCAUGCGUUAGGAGCUUCCUUUUUAAAAAGUUGUUUGAGACAUUGAUGGCCCUUAACAACUUAGUGAUUUGUUGCAGUGAACACACUGUUUUAAUUAAACUAGUACCUUUCCACGACUGCUUUCUAUGACGAAAAUAGUUUAUUACUACACGAUAAAUUAAGAGAAGGAGUCUAACUUGAACUCAGAGCGAUGCGAUAACAGUUAAACAAAAUUGAAUGGCCAAAGCCCAGGUGUCGUUUUUGUUGUUCUUGUAGGCGUCUUCCAAUAAAAUUUGAUCUCGUUCGUCCUACAUCUAAUGUGAAUUAAGUAUACAGUAGUUAACAAUAGAACCAGGUCAGCUUAAAAUUUGUUUAAGGUGGGAUCGCUGGUACAGCUUCAACGGCGUCAUCCGCCUUCUUCCUCAUCACGUCAAACUUGUAAUUCUGGUGAAUAACUUUUCAGGUAACUUCCAAUCCCUUUAAAUCGUGAAGAAUCAUUACUUGCUACUCGUUAUCUCCUAUAACUGAGGCAUCAUUGCAUACCAAUCAACUGUCAGGUAGUCCUUGCCUCAUAAGACCGAACACACCCUCACUCGUCGGAUAUACAAACGGCCUACUUGUUUAUCUUUGGUAUAAUUAUAAUUCAAUAUACAAAUGCCUCUUCGCUAUUGAAAGAAGAGGAGUAGUACGUUUUUCAUUUACACUUAGCUCCGUUUUUUAAACAACCUUUCCGACCCACGUCACAUAUCCGGGCCUCUCUCUCUUUAUAGUUUAGACGCAGUCGUUCUCACCUCAACAAAAUUCAGUCAAAAGCACGAACGAAUGAAAAAAAUAAAACAAAAAAAAAAAAGGGAACGAGCAAACUAAGAACCAGAAAAUAAAAAUGAUAAUGAGCAGUAAGCAACGAGUUUGUCGAAAGCAUCAUCAUUAAUUAUUAAUUCACCUGUUAUUCGCUUGCUGACAGAACUGAAUAACUUAACCCGAAGAAGAAUAUAUUUCCUGAUGGCAUGCAAGUUACUAACUAACAAUUCAGUCUAUUCUUUGGCCUUACUAUGUCCGGCUUAGGUCUGAAAAACGAAACGAUAGUUUUCCAAAGCUCGGACGUCUACAGGCAAGCCUGCGUCGCAGACAAUAUAAACCGCCGGUUCUGAUAGGAUUUUGUGACUCGUCCGGCUGCAUCGCAGGCUCGGACAUCUCUAGUAAGUCAUGAUUCACCCAGUUCUACAAGAGUCAUUUUGCAAGAGUCAUUAUGAUUGAGGUACUACAAAGUGAAGUUGUAAGAAUUGUGUAUCUAUUUAUAGCUUAAAUUAUGUUAUUGAAUACAACUGUAGAGCACGCUUGUUUUUGUCUCGCAAACAAGAAGCGUUUUGUUCCGCCGACCAGGCUUGGAGGCGGCACAUGAGCAGGUGUUGUGUCAAGAGCAUGUGCGUAAGAAUUCACCUGUCGCGAUCUAUAUUCACUAAGAACCACGCCAGUGAAAUAGGUACUUUUAGUGGCUAGUUAAGAUCCUCGUGGACAAGUGCAGCCGAAGUUAUCAACAUACUCCCGCCAGGUUCUAAGACGUUCCCAUUUAAAGGGUUCAUGGCUUACCUACUUGCCAUCGCUGCAGCUUCUGCAAGAUCGCGUGGCAGCAGAUUUUAUAGAAACGCUUUAGAGCACACUGAUGUGGUAGACAACCACUCUACCGAUCAAGGGGAAGCAGAAACCAUGUAGGACAUAGGCAAACGUUCAGCAAAGCUUUACUAAGAAGAAGAUACGGCAAUCUCUUGCGAUCUAUCCUCAGACAUAGCGUUGAAAGGACAAAACUGUGAAAAGCGCCCGCACCCAUAUACGAAGGGUGACAAGACGUACACGUACUAUCAAUGUGAGCCAGGUUGCUGUUGUCAGGGCCCCAAAACAAUUAGGGUCACGCACACCCUGACCGUGUGUAAGAAAUGUCUUUCCACGUGCCUGAGUGGUUAGCAAGCAGUUCAGUCGGAGAAAAGGAAGUAAGACUCGGAAGUGAACUUGAUAUUUGCAACGGACAAGUUUAUAAAGAUAAAAACGAAUUGUAUAAACAACAAUAAGCUGUUACUAGCAUUAAGUGUCCUCAAUUUAGAAAAACGACAUUUAAUAAAGUUUAAAACUGUUUCAAUUUUGAUAAUGAGAACUGAUCAAUGUUACCUUAAUCAUAACGAAGUAAUGAUUCAUCGCUGAAUGCCUUUCCAUUACUAGGUUGUUUGAGUUAAAUAAACAUGCUAACCUU